RNAcentral lists this transfer RNA (81 nucleotides) under Planctomycetota bacterium. RNAcentral's name for it is "Planctomycetes bacterium tRNA-Leu". It matches the Rfam family "tRNA". Rfam says of the family: Transfer RNA (tRNA) molecules are approximately 80 nucleotides in length. Their secondary structure includes four short double-helical elements and three loops (D, anti-codon, and T loops). The record is from RNAcentral. Lineage: Bacteria; Pseudomonadati; Planctomycetota.
CUGUGGCGGAAUUGGCAGACGCGCUAGGUUCAGGUCCUAGUCCGGGUUAACCGGGUGGAGGUUCGAAUCCUCUCAGCCGCA